GGAUGCGAGAACGAUAUGUCUGGCCUAGACAUGUCACCUUACUGAUGGCCAGUGUUGAUUUCUCUAAUCUGGUUGGCCUGCCUGGGGUCCCUGUUUUUUCCCUCAUACUCCUGUGUGUCCCUCCCAAAGCUGAGUGCUUGCUCAAGAAGUCGGCGUUCUCCAAAUAGAGACUGCUCUUGGGGCAAGGGUAUAUGAGUAGCUAUGGUCCCUUGCUAGCACCUCCAAAAAGGCUCAAGUUCUAAAUUUCUGAUAUUAGGAGUAGAACAUAAAAGUUUCUUUUCCCUAUUUGUUGAUAACA
Molecule: small nuclear RNA, 298 nt
Filed under: Sorex araneus (European shrew)
Lineage: Eukaryota; Metazoa; Chordata; Mammalia; Eulipotyphla; Soricidae
Description: 7SK RNA (ENSSARG00000018978.1)
Rfam family: 7SK RNA
About the family: 7SK was discovered as an abundant small nuclear RNA in the mid-70s but a possible function has only recently been suggested. Two independent studies have found that 7SK RNA binds the CDK9/cyclin T complex (known as elongation factor P-TEFb). P-TEFb activates transcription by phosphorylating the C-terminal domain of RNA polymerase II.
Source: RNAcentral